RNAcentral lists this ribosomal RNA (447 nucleotides) under uncultured bacterium. Its description in RNAcentral is "SSU rRNA". It matches the Rfam family "Bacterial small subunit ribosomal RNA", at positions 26 to 518 of the family's 1533-position model. The record is from RNAcentral.
AGAGCGAACGCUGGCGGCAGGCCUAACACAUGCAAGUCGAACGCCGUAGCAAUACGGAGUGGCAGACGGGAUAGUAACACGUGGGAACGCGCCCUUCGGUUCGGAAUAACUCAGGGAAACUUGAGCUAAAUACCGGAUACGCCCUUACGGGGAAAGAUUUAUUGCCGAAGGAACGGCCCGCGUCGGAUUAGCUAGUUGGUGAGGUAAUGGCUCACCAAGGCGACGAUCCGUAGCUGGUCUGAGAGGAUGACCAGCAUCACUGGGACUGAGACACGGCCCAGACUCCUACGGGAGGCAGCAGUGGGGAAUAUUGGACAAGUGGGCGCAAGCCUGAUCCAGCCAUGCCGCGUGGAUGAUGAAGGCCCUAGGGUUGUAAAGUCCGUUUUAACGGGGAAGAUAAUGACGGUACCGUAGAAUAAGCCCGGCUAACUUCGUGCCAGCAGCCGC